This 960-nucleotide long non-coding RNA is filed under the name Olea europaea subsp. europaea. The record is from RNAcentral. Lineage: Eukaryota; Viridiplantae; Streptophyta; Magnoliopsida; Lamiales; Oleaceae.
UGGGCUGUUUCAUCCACUGGGACCUUUUCCUACGCAGCCUAGCAUCAGUUAAGCUCAUGUUUAUAAAUGAUUUAUAAAUAUUGAAAAUAUCUUUACAUUUUGAGGGACUCAAAAAUUAUAUUCACGGCACUUAAUGUAAGCUUAGCACCGGUACUCAUUCGAUUAUUUCUCCAUAUGCAGUGCUAUAGGUACAACAUAUUGAAGAGCAUGAUUGUCAAUUCUCUCACACAAAAGGGGUGGUGCCUGCAAUUGAAAUAAUCGCAGGUUGUACAAAUAUCAUUUCCCUUUAUCCAUUUCUAUGUACAUAUAAUUCUCAUCAUUUAUGAAGACGUCCUAAACAUGCAAUCGCAAGCCCACAUUUCUGAGAGGGCUGUAUUUGUGCUGUGCUGACAUCGUUUCCCUUUCUUCAUUUCUAUGUAUAUCUAAUUCUCAUCAUUUAUGAGACGUCGUAAACAUGCUUCAUUGAGUCAACUUUUAAGCUUCUGACCAAGUGUUCUAUAAACUGCAGGACAUUUCUUCAUUCCAGAAUACAACAAUUGCAUAACUUUCUUGCCCGACUCUCUCUGUUUCUGCAUUACUUUUUUGUCGUCCAUGCCACCCUCCAUUUUGAAGAUGAAGAAAGCAGCCAGUUUUGCAUUCUUCUUGGCAGUGGUGGUUCUUUUUGUUUGCAAAUUACAUGCGACGGAGGCUAUCAAUUGCAGCCCGCUGGAGCUGAGUUCGUGAGUGUUGGCAAUAAUGUUGUCUUUACCACCGUCGGAUGAAGAGCAGGAACGUUGCCUUUGUGAGUAUUAAAGAGAUAAUAUAUUAACUCUCCCAAUGCCAGGAGGGUUGCUAACAUCUGUAGUGUUCCCGCUCCUAUGUGCUAAUCUGAAAACUUCACCUCAAGCGUUAAGAGUGCUACAUUGGAAAAGGAUGAAUGGAUUUGCUGGCUUCGUAUCUCCAUUAAUCAUCUCAUAAAAU